Molecule: ribosomal RNA, 756 nt
Filed under: uncultured eukaryote
Lineage: Eukaryota
Description: bacterial SSU rRNA
Rfam family: Bacterial small subunit ribosomal RNA
Source: RNAcentral
CAAGCGUUAUCCGGAAUCAUUGGGCGUAAAGCGCCUGUAGGUUGUUUAAUAAGUCUGUUGUUAAAGACUGGGGCUUAACCCCAGGAAAGCAAUGGAAACUACUAGACUAGAGUAUGGUAGGGGUAAAGGGAAUUUCUAGUGUAGCGGUGAAAUGCGUAGAUAUUAGAAAGAACACCGGUGGCGAAAGCGCUUUACUGGACCAUUACUGACACUCAGAGGCGAAAGCUAGGGUAGCCAAAGGGAUUAGAUACCCCUGUAGUCCUAGCCGUAAACGAUGGAUACUAGAUGUUGCGCUUAUUGUGCAGUGUCGUAGCUAACGCGUUAAGUAUCCCGCCUGGGGAGUACGAUCGCAAGGUUGAAACUCAAAGGAAUUGACGGGGGCCCGCACAAGCGGUGGAGCAUGUGGUUUAAUUCGAUGCAACGCGAAGAACCUUACCAGGGCUUGACAUACUGCAAAUUUUCUUGAAAGAGAAAAGUGCCUUCGGGAAUGCAGAUACAGGUGGUGCAUGGCUGUCGUCAGCUCGUGUUGUGAGAUGUUGGGUUAAGUCCCGCAACGAGCGCAACCCUCGUUUUUAGUUGCCAUUUUAUGGGUUCUCUAGAAAGACUGCCGGUGACAAACCGGAGGAAGGUGGGGAUGACGUCAAGUCAGCAUGCCCCUUAUGCCCUGGGCUACACACGUGCUACAAUGGCUAAGACAAAGAGUCGCGAAUUCGCGAGAAUCAGCUAAUCUCAUAAACUUAGUCUAAGUUCAGAUUU